This 951-nucleotide ribosomal RNA is filed under the name Triticum aestivum (bread wheat). RNAcentral's name for it is "partial small subunit ribosomal RNA". The record is from RNAcentral. Lineage: Eukaryota; Viridiplantae; Streptophyta; Magnoliopsida; Poales; Poaceae.
AUGGCGAUCCCUGUCAUCGACUUCUCCAGGCUUGAUGGCGACGAGAGGGCGGCUGCCCUGGCGGAGAUCGCCGCCGGGUUCGAGCAGUGGGGGUUCUUCCAGCUGGUGAACACUGGCAUCCCUGACGAGCUGCUGGAGAGGGUGAAGAAGGUGUGCAGCGACUGCUACAAGCUGCGCGAGGAGGGGUUCAACGGGUCCAACCCCGCGGUCAAGGCCCUGGCGGCCCUGGUGGAGCGGGAAGGCGAGGGCCUCGCCCCAAGGAAGGUCGAAGGCAUGGAUUGGGAGGAUGUCUUCACCCUCCACGACGACCUGCCAUGGCCCUCCAUCCCUCCAACCUUCAAGGAGACGAUGAUGGAGUACAGGACGGAGCUGAAGAAGCUGGCGGAGAAGCUGCUGGGCGUCAUGGAGGAGCUUCUGGGGCUGGCGGAAGGGCAAAUCACCAAGGUCUUCUCCAAGGACGGCGACUUUAAGCCCUUCUACGGCACCAAGGUGAGCCACUACCCGCCGUGCCCGCGCCCGGAGAUGGUGGACGGGCUGCGCGCCCACACCGACGCCGGCGGCCUCAUCCUGCUCUUCCAGGACGACCGCGUGGGCGGGCUGCAGGUGCUCGGCCGCGAUGGCCGCUGGGCCGACGUCCAGCCCGUGGAGAACGCCAUCGUCAUCAACACCGGCGACCAGAUCGAGGUGAUGAGCAAUGGCCGGUACAAGAGCGCGUGGCACCGCGUCCUGGCCACCCGCGACGGCAACCGUCGCUCCAUUGCCUCCUUCUACAACCCGGCGCGCGCUGCCACCAUCGCGCCGGCGAUCCCGGCCGCCGCCGACUCCGGCACGGGCGGCGACUACCCGAGCUUCUCGUUCGGGGACUACAUGGAGGUGUACAUCAAGCAGAAGUUCCAGGACAAGGAGCCCAGGUUCGCAGCAGCGGCGGCGAUCAAAACUACGGUGGACUGA